AGUUGUUGUAGAAUAUGGUCAACUCGGUGGGUGGAAAGGAAGGAAGGGGGCCUGAUUUUGGAGUUCUAAGUUGGUUGGGCUAGAGCCAACUCCUCCUUCAAUGAUCGCAAACCACUCGCGUUGAAGCAUUCGAAUCUUCAGCUCACAGUCCAUUUUCGAAUCACUCCUCACCUGUGGAACAGUGAAAUUUCACCAAAUUCUCUAGAAAUCCUAAGAGCCACAGCACGUUGGAGAAUGGAGGAUGAUGUUAGGGUUUCAACUGAUGGAAAGGUCUUACAGCUCCAGGAGCUCUGGAUUUUUCACCGGCCGCAGAUAUUCGUUAGAUCGCAUGGUCCUGAUUCCAUUGAAGAUAAUCGACUGGUUUUCUUGAAGCAUUUGCAGAGAACUUCAACCACACCGUCGUAUUCGUUGCUAGACACUGGGAGGUUCUCUGUGCAAGAGACUAGUCCUGCUUCUUCAGGGGCCUCCGUUCAGUUUUGCGGCUGAACAGACAAUAAAAGAUAACACGCCACAUAGCUUAUCCGGGAGCGCACAAGAAUCAGAAGUCAGAGGAUUACUCGAAAGGGUGUGCUAGGCAAGGCGAUUAGAAAUCAUGGAUGCCGUAAUUCGGUCUGCUGUGAAGAGGUGGUUGGAAUGUUGCAGCAAGGUGAAGAGAGCUGGUCAUGGGAAAUCUUCCCAUUAUUAGUUCAAACGCAUUGCAGAAGGGAAAAAGGAAAAAUCAGAACAUACAUAGUUCAAAAGAGAUUCAGUUCUAGCUACCCUAGCUAACUGAUUUGCAAAAAAGACUAUUUUCAUGGGAAAUCUUCCCAUUAUUAGUUCAAACGCAUUGCAGAAGGGAAAAAGGAAAAAUCAGAACAUACAUAGUUCAAAAGAGAUUCAGUUCUAGCUACCCUAGCUAACUGAUUUGCAAAAAAGACUAUUUUCUCAAUGACACAUGAAGAGAACUGUUUCAUCACAUCACUAAUAUCCUGCUAAAAAAGGAAAUUUCCCAUGUCCAAUUAUCUCCACUCAGCUUCUAGAAUUUGAUUAGCUCUUUGCAAUAAGUCCAAAUGACUACGGACGUGAAUCCUAAUCGUUUUGCCUAUUGCACCCUUCGAGCAUACCUUUGGCUUCGGAUUCUUGUGUUCUCCUUGCAUAACCAGAGCUUAGGGAACUGCAAUAACAAAUACAAAGCUGCCCAUCCAGCCUGAAAUGAAGAGAUAUGAAAACUACCAUUGCACUCCACAAUACAAGAGUCAGUAGGUAAGAGCUUUUGGAAUUCCGACUAUAGGAUCAAUGCAUCUUCACCUGGGGCAAUGGAUGGAGUAAUAGGUUGUAAAAGGUUAAGGUCAAUAAUCAGUCUAUUGAUAUUAUUAAGGAUAGAUGUUGGGUUCAGGGAUUUACCAUUGUUGAUGCUACGACUUCUAGCCAUCUAUAUGAAGUAACACGUAAUGGCAAAGACUAAAUGAAAGAAGGAAAUAUCGUUCCUAAUCAAACUGGGGUCAUUUAGGAAGUUUGAGCAUUUUUGUUAUAAAAAUGCAUUGGAAGGAUUCUGUCCUUAAUCCCAAAAGUCUUGCUGCCCAGAUUCUCUUAGAGAAACUAUAUGAAAUAAAGAGAUGCCUGUUAAUUUCAGGUUCCUCAUGGCAAAAGGGACACACUUCCUCAAGAGAGAAAAACCUGCUUAAAUUGGUUCUGGUGCAGUGCCCAUUUUAAGUAGUCUCCACAAGAAAAUUUUGAACUUCGGAUGAGCAUACAUUUCCAGAGGUGGUACCAGAUUUAUUUCAGUUGAAUGAGAGUUGGAAACUCUGUAAAAAAAAUAAAAAAAUAAAAAAAAUCAGCCACAAUUUUGGUAGAGAGAACAACCAUUUUGGAAUAUUGACUAAAUAAAAAAUCUUCAUGGGUAGAGGUGGACAGAAGGAUGGAUAGGAUUUUUGGGACUACAAAAGAGGGAAAUAACACUUGAAUUAGGGGGAUACUCCAUCUCCUCUAUCUAUGAUUAAUUCCGAGACAUUUUUAAAAAGAUUGAGACAGGAAGCUCCCCCAGGGUCAAUGUAGACAUUUGGCCAUUUGGGGAGCCAAGGACUGUUUGACAUGUACACCUUUGCACCUGUACCCAUUUUCCAACAAACUAAGGGUCUGAGGAGAGGAAUAACGUGAGAAAUACCAUUCCAAGUCCAGGUUCCUUUUUUGGGUUUGAAAUUGGCAUCUAAAAUGCAAUUAUUAGGAAAAUAUUUUGUUUUUUUUGGGUUUGAAAUUGGCAUCUAAAAUGCAAUUAUUAGGAAAAUAUUUUGCUUUUAGGAUUCUACCCCACUAAGAAGAUGGGUUGGAGAUCAUUCUCCAUCCUAAUUUGGUUAGGAGGGCUGUAUUGUGGCUGCACGCAACCGGGUGGCAAUCUGUUUCCCAAUUAUUUAUUACAAAGGUUCCUACUGGUUAUAUUUACAGACUUCCAAAGAUUCCUAAUUAAACUGAAUCUUAGGUAUCUCCACUCAGCUCCCAAGGCUCCUAAUAUGAGUCUUCUGCUCAUGUUAUGUACAUAUUAACUUUUUUUAUUAUUUAUUUCUAUGUUUUAAGUUUUCCUGAUUAUUUAACAUGCUUUUCUAAAUAGCUUUCUUGGAGAAGAUCUUUUGUUUUUGUUUACCAUGAGCAGGGCAUAGGCGGAUUUGUGCAACCCUUCAUUUAUAUAAAUUUUAUUGGUGUUCUUUUAUUUUUUGCUGUCCAGUUGUAUGUGCAGAGUAUCAUGGAGGAUCUUGAUGAGUUAGAAGAUGCUUCUCCUGUUGAUAGUUGGGAUAAAAUUUCAUAAAUAAAUUGACCUCUGGUGAUUCAUGAGGAAGAAGGUAAGGUCUUUACUUUACAUGAUGCACUCGAAACUCAACUACCUGAGUUCUUCACCGAUGAAUUGACUGAUGAGCUAAGGACUACUAGAUCCCGAGGAUGAGCAAAGAGCCAGUGAGACAAACUUGUCUCAUUGCAAUGAAGAAAAUGCAUGGAACAGAAAGAAUGGAGAGGUGGGAGAAACAUUAGGUAAAUGGAACCAGGAGUCUUUUUCACCCAAAAAGGCUGAAAUCAAUGGAUUGAACCCAAGUUGGAGUAUACCCUUCUCUUGGGUUGUUAACAACUUGAUGAACCCUGAGCACUUUCUUCAUAUUUGUGUUGUUAAAACUUGCGCCAGACCAUGUCCAUACAAUGAUGAUGUGAUGGGGUUAUGUUUGGAUCAUUGUGUCUCACCCUUUGUUAAGGAAUCUUGAGCUCCAUUCUUUUGUAAUCUCCAAUCAUAUCCCAUUCAUUGUAUAGAAAUGUACAGAAACACUUGUAUUAGGAUCAGUGUGUGCUGCUAACAGCCCCUUGCGUGGGUGGUUCGCGGCAUCACCUCACAAGAGGUUGGUCUCGGGCUCGAAUUCUGUGGCAGGAACCAACAAGGAGUUGGCUUAGUUCAAGCUUUCAUGAAGCUGUGCAGGUUACGUCACUGAAACAGUGGGGGCUGCUUGAACCAUGUUUCCUUUUUUGGACUUAUUUUUUCAAAAAUUCAGGCAUUGAUUUCUUCUA
This is a long non-coding RNA of Macadamia integrifolia, 3522 nucleotides long. RefSeq lists it as uncharacterized. Lineage: Eukaryota; Viridiplantae; Streptophyta; Magnoliopsida; Proteales; Proteaceae. The transcript has 3 exons. The record is from RefSeq and is a predicted model, not a curated record.